This 407-nucleotide ribosomal RNA is filed under the name uncultured bacterium. RNAcentral describes it as "partial 16S ribosomal RNA". It matches the Rfam family "Bacterial small subunit ribosomal RNA", at positions 30 to 526 of the family's 1533-position model. The record is from RNAcentral.
AUUGAACGCUGGCGGCAGGCCUAACACAUGCAAGUCGAGCGGAGCGGCGGACGGGUGAGUAAUGCCUAGGAAUCUGCCUGGUCGUGGGGGAUAACGUCCGGAAACGGGCGCUAAUACCGCAUACUAUUCGCUGAGACUAGGGCGGAUUAGCUAGCUGGUGGGGUAAAGGCCUACAACGGCGACGAACCGUAACUGGUCUGAGAGGAUGAUCAGUCACACUGGACCUGAGACAAGUUCCAGACUCCUACGGGAGGCAGCAGUGGGGAAGAUUGGACAAGGGGCGAAAGCCUGAUCCAGCCAUGCCGCGUGUGUGAAGAAGGUCUUCGGAUUGUAAAGCACUUUAAGUUGGGAGGCGUUACCAACAGAAUAAGCACCGGCUAACUUCGUGCCAGCAGCCGCGGUAAUAC